AGAUUGAACGCUGGCGGCAGGCCUAACACAUGCAAGUCGAGCGGUAGAGAGGUGCUUGCACCUCUUGAGAGCGGCGGACGGGUGAGUAAUGCCUAGGAAUCUGCCUAGUGGUGGGGGAUAACGUUCGGAAACGGACGCUAAUACCGCAUACGUCCUACGGGAGAAAGCGGGGGACCUUCGGGCCUCGCGCCAUUAGAUGAGCCUAGGUCGGAUUAGCUAGUUGGUGAGGUAAUGGCUCACCAAGGCGACGAUCCGUAACUGGUCUGAGAGGAUGAUCAGUCACACUGGAACUGAGACACGGUCCAGACUCCGUACGGGAGCAGCAGGUGGGGAAUA
This 336-nucleotide ribosomal RNA is filed under the name uncultured soil bacterium. RNAcentral's name for it is "bacterial SSU rRNA". It matches the Rfam family "Bacterial small subunit ribosomal RNA", at positions 26 to 363 of the family's 1533-position model. The record is from RNAcentral.